UACGUAGGGUGCGAGCGUUGUCCGGAAUUACUGGGCGUAAAGAGCUCGUAGGUGGUUUGUCGCGUUGUUCGUGAAAACCGGGGGCUUAACCCUCGGCGUGCGGGCGAUACGGGCAGACUUGAGUACUGCAGGGGAGACUGGAAUUCCUGGUGUAGCGGUGAAAUGCGCAGAUAUCAGGAGGAACACCGGUGGCGAAGGCGGCAUCCUGGACCGACACUGACGCUGAGGAGCGAAAGCCAGGGGAGCAAACGGG
RNAcentral lists this ribosomal RNA (253 nucleotides) under uncultured bacterium. RNAcentral's name for it is "partial 16S ribosomal RNA". It matches the Rfam family "Bacterial small subunit ribosomal RNA", at positions 524 to 776 of the family's 1533-position model. The record is from RNAcentral.